CUAGGUGAGUGUGGGCUUUGAGUAUCAGCAUAUAUGGAAGUAUUAUGAGGUUGAGUGGAAGUAGGUUGGCUAUGUGGGAGAGUGGAUGCACAUGGUGUGAUGUGACUAUGCUGAGGGUGGGCCAAGGGAUUAUGUGUCAUUGGAGUUGCGGUGGAUACUGCAUCUAUGGGCUGUAGAGAUAAGUGAGCUGGUGGAGGACCAAGUAUACCAUCUUGAGGAGAUAGUGAUACAGUUACAGGUUGUGGCGUCAACAAAAAAGGUGGAAG
RNAcentral lists this unclassified non-coding RNA (266 nucleotides) under Hevea brasiliensis (rubber tree). The record is from RNAcentral. Lineage: Eukaryota; Viridiplantae; Streptophyta; Magnoliopsida; Malpighiales; Euphorbiaceae.